Molecule: transfer RNA, 75 nt
Filed under: Clostridium sp.
Lineage: Bacteria; Bacillati; Bacillota; Clostridia; Eubacteriales; Clostridiaceae
Description: tRNA-Met
Rfam family: tRNA
About the family: Transfer RNA (tRNA) molecules are approximately 80 nucleotides in length. Their secondary structure includes four short double-helical elements and three loops (D, anti-codon, and T loops).
Source: RNAcentral
CGCGGAGUGGAGCAGCGGUAGCUCGUCGGGCUCAUAACCCGAAGGUCGGGGGUUCAAAUCCUUCCUCCGCUACCA